Molecule: ribosomal RNA, 440 nt
Filed under: uncultured bacterium
Lineage: Bacteria
Description: partial 16S ribosomal RNA
Rfam family: Bacterial small subunit ribosomal RNA
Source: RNAcentral
CUACGGGUGGCUGCAGUGAGGAAUAUUGCACAAUGGGGGGAACCCUGAUGCAGCAACGCCGCGUGGAGGAUGACGCAUUUCGGUGUGUAAACUCCUUUUAUAUGUCAAGAAAAUGACGGUAGCAUAUGAAUAAGCACCGGCUAACUCCGUGCGCAGCAGCCGCGGUAAUACGGAGGGUGCAAGCGUUACUCGGAAUCACUGGGCGUAAAGGACGCGUAGGCGGGUUGGAAAGUCAGGUGUGAAAUCCUACAGCUUAACUGUAGAACUGCACUUGAAACUUCUAAUCUAGAGUAUGGGAGGGGGAGAUGGAAUUAGUGGUGUAGGGGUAAAAUCCGUAGAUAUCACUAGGAAUACCUAAAGCGAAGGCGAUCUCCUGGAACAUUACUGACGCCAAGGCGUGAAAGCGUGGGGAGCAAACAGGAUUAGAUACCCGCGUAGUC